Molecule: non-coding RNA, 1655 nt
Organism: Phasianus colchicus (ring-necked pheasant)
Lineage: Eukaryota; Metazoa; Chordata; Aves; Galliformes; Phasianidae
Source: RefSeq, a predicted model, not a curated record
UCGGGGGUGCGGCGGAGCUCGGCCGGGACUGCGGGACCCCCGCGUGCCCCCUCCGUGGCUGCGGGGACCGGCCGUGCUCGGGACCCGUUAGGGGCGGGAGCCCUCGGCCGGCGGAGCCCCGGGCGUUGGGCGGCAGCGGGCCCUUCUCCUUCGCGCUCGGCACGGACCGGGGCGGGCGGAUCCCGUGCCGAGCCCGUCACGUGGCGGCGGGAGGCAGGAAAUGGUCCGUGAGCGGACGGAGCGUUACGGGCACGGUCAUUAACGGGGCGGCGUGUCUGCGUCACGGCCCGGGCUCGCGGCACGGCGGGUGACGAUUCCCCGUCGCCAAUUCACCGGGGGCGGAAUUUAAUGGAGUCUUAUUGAAAUCUGCGCUUCUCCAUUAAAUAACGCCGUGCCGGCAGUCCCGCGGCCGUGGCGCAGCCUGCGCGCCGCCUGCCAGGAGCGCUGCGCCUGCGGGAACGGCGGGGCUGGGAGCGGAGCGCGGGGUGCGGCGGCACGAGGCCGCUCAGAGCUGCCGAAAUGAUGGCGCUGCGUUUGGGCCACUGCUGAAAAUUACACGGCCUCCAGCUUGGCUUCAUGGAGCUGCUUUUGAGAUGCAGCGCCGAGAGCUCCUGGCAGGGAGCGCGGCCGGCAUGUAAUGCAAGUGCUCCUUUUCAGCGCUGACGCCAGCAGGCAGCGCGCCGGUCGGGCAGAGCUCUCAUUUCUCUUCCUCUGUUAAAAACAGAAUGCCGAGUCCAGCUAUCCAGAGCUCUGGAAGAAACGAGAUGCUAGUGGUGAGCCCAACAAUGGAUGCAGUACUUGAGGUGCUCCAAUCCUGUCCCCUUCUGAAGUGCCCCCAGUAACCCACCCUGCAGGUGUUGGAGUGUCUGCGCUCCCACAGCCCCUCCAGCUGCUGUUCUCUGUUUCCUCCUGCUGCUGGCUGCAGCUCACAGCCCAUGGUGAGCAUGGGGACACCCACUCUGCCUGUGCUGGAGGUGUCCUAUGGGGUUCCUCAGCUCUGCAAGGAGCCGACCAUUUGGGAACAUGUGGCUGUUUCAGGGCUGGGGAUAGAUCCUUCUCUGGGGACACCUCCAGUUGCUCCUUGGAUCGGCCGUGAACCCCCAGUGGGGGGCUGUGUGCCACCUCACAGUGAUUGCAGCCAUGGGACAACCACAGAGGCCCCAAGGAGCAGCCCUGCACAUUGCACCUGGGGCUGUGCCCAGGGCACAGGCAGGCUUCAACCCACAGCCUGGGAUGGAGACAGUCUGGGGUGCUGGGAGCUGCAGCCAGGGCCUGGGGCCGCUGCAGGCUGCCAACACAGCCCUCCAGCAAAGGAAUUUACCUACAGCAAAUAAUAGAGAGCACUCCGAAAAUAAUGAACAUCAGGUGGUGACCUAACUUGGCGUAAAUCUGGGUAUUAGAUUUACACUACUCUGAAAAGAAAAAAAGAAUAAAAAAGACUCUUUGCAAAAAUGAACACGGUAGAGGCAUUCUCCAUUCAUUAAAACAAGCAAGCAAGCAAGCAAGCAGAUUGCACUCUAUUUCAAAUUAGGGUAAGUUGUCCCUAAAUAACCAUUUGUGCAAGAAAGUCACCAGCUGCCUGCCAGGCAAAGCCAAGCACCCCUUGAAGCAAGGACUACAAAGCAUGCGGACCUGGCGGGGCUGCCCGAGGCAGG